UCCUCCUACCAUGUGUGCCCCGGGAUCAGAGGCCUUUUUUGCUGAGCCAUCUUCUGGUCCAGUACUAUGGUUUUAAAAAACAGUUCUUUUAGAAGUCCAGCAGCUUUCACUGAGUUAUGUCCCAAAUAAGCCAAGUUGGAAAUCUGGAGGCAUGGUCUCAUAACAAGAUGGCAAACAGCUACUUAUUAUAUCUUCCUUAGCCCAUUAAAAACUGCUUAGCUUAGGCUACAUGGAGAAAGAAAACACUGAAGUAAAACGUAAAAAUAAAAGUGCUAUGGAACUUAACCUCAUCGCCACGGUGUUUCUGCAAAAACAGACACUGCGUCCACAUGAGCAGGACUUGCUUUUCUCCAUGAGCCAUGAAGCAGUGGGUCAGACCCUACUCUCUCACUUCACCCGAACGUCACCAGUGACGCCUGCGGUUUGAUGACAGCAUCCCAGCGAGAAAGAAUGAAUGCUUGCGGUUGUGACCAGAGAGGAGACCAGCACACGAGUCUCCUGUGAGUGGAGGGGAAGCCUGGGGGCUGUGGUGUAGAACGAUCAAUGCAGGGGGCCAGGGAGAUGUAAGAAUCAGAAACACAGAUGGGAGCUGUUAGGAACAGUAAGGAGACACCAUGGCCAGAAAGGAUCUCAAUAGGCUACAAGACUGCGGGAGGGCAGAGCGGCCAGGCGGUGGGUGUCUGUGACCGCUUGCUUCCUUUCUCUUAUCAGCAUUCUAAUCUUGCCUGUGGCAUUCCUCUGGCCCUCACACUACUCACUGACCACCCUGCCCACUUGAUGUUGGUGCUAUAUCACCUUCCUGAAAGUGAAAAGCGUGCAGAAACCAUGACUCCACGUUAAAGAAGCAAGCCACUACCCAGUGCCAAAGCCAAGCGCAGCGGACCACUCUGUGGGAGAAGAGACAGGGGGAAGGGGCCAUUUGCUUACCUGACAGGACAACUUCUACCAGGUCCCCUUCAUGUAUUUCAUCUGCUGAGGUAAUCAGCUGCAAAAUGUUUUCUGAGUUCAUGUCGUGGCGAAAGAGAAGAAUUUUAUCAUACAUGCCAAAGAAUCCACACUCUGGAAACUGAAGAAAAACAGUCCUGCAUCAAUAUUCCAUAGCUUUCUGCUGUUACAAAUAGUCUACAAAAGAAUUUUGAAGUGUCUUGACAUAGUGCUAGUGACUAACAACUCUUUUAAUAUUUAAAAGGUGAACCUUGUACUCAAAUAUCCUGGUUAAUUUUAAAGCUCAAAAACAGAAAAGUAAAUUUGCAAAUAAAUAAUCAUUACCUUAAAACACAUGUGUCUUACAAAUUUCAGAUUUCUAAUUGCUAUAAGACAACAUCGUUUUCUACUGGUUCUGUUUUUAUCCCGAGGAGGACCAACCAUGAAUCUAUACGACCUUGAGCUGCCUUUCUUAGAUCCAACAGUUUCUCACACUUUGCAGUUUUGGGAGGACGUGCUCACUGGCUAGCAUACUUGGCAGUAACCAUGAAAAUUAAACCAAUUACUGUAACAUAAAGAACUUGGGUUUCUGAUGAGUUGGAUGUGCCAUGAACAUUAGCGUCUGUCUACUGCUCCCCAUAUUUCGUUAUUAUCAACAACAGCCGAUUCUCCCCAUCUUCCUCUCCACCCAGAGGCCCAUCUGCUUGCUGGAACUGUUGGGAAGGAUUUGGAAGUAUGGUCUUAUUGGAGAAGGUGUAUCACAGGGUGGCUUUGAUGCUUCAAAUUCCUCCUGCUACCCCCACUGCACUCCCUGCUCCUUCCUGUUUGUGGAUCUGGAUAUGAGCUCUCAGCUGCUGCUCCAGGGCCACAGUGGCCAUGCUCCUGCCACAGAGAUGAUGGACUCCUAUCCCUUUGGAACUCCAAGACCCAAAUACACCCCUCCUCCUGUAAGCUGUCUUGAUUGUGAUAUUUCAAUAAGAACUAAGACAACAUGUAACAUUUACAAAGUAGUCUAUGG
Molecule: long non-coding RNA, 1942 nt
Organism: Mus musculus (house mouse)
Lineage: Eukaryota; Metazoa; Chordata; Mammalia; Rodentia; Muridae
Product: predicted gene, 41622
Exons: 5
Source: RefSeq, a predicted model, not a curated record